UGCAUAAACUUAAAGCUAAAACCCUAAGCUAUCAAAUGAAUAAAAAGUGCAGUGAAAAAUUGAGCUCCGAAAGUGUUUUAACUAUUUGUAAACUAUUGCGUAUGUUUUAUCAUACGUAAACGCUAGCCCAGUUUUUGCUAUAUGAAAAUUCAUUCCUAAUAUCUCCUUGUAGACAAGCAACAACUGAGGAGAUAGUUGAAUGGCUCCAAGAUUUAAAUGAAGAUGAUGAUGUAGAGAUUAUAGAAAACAUCAAUAAUGCCAAUUUUAUUGAUGUGACUUUGCUCCCCCCCGAAGAACAGGAGUUAUCCGAUUGCGAUUACGCAGAUGAAUACGAUGAAGGUACACUGGGUGAUUUGGGUCGUGGAGUUCUUAAAAGGGCAUGUGAAAUAAGAACUGAUAACUCAGAAGUGGAGGAGCAACAGUUUCUAAAUGAAGCGAGCAGUUCACUAGCCCCACGUACAAGGACUUCAACUCAAAGGAAAACUAAAAAAAGAAGAUUUUCCGAAAAUUGUCCAAGAUAGUAGUAAAAGCAAGUGAAUGUUCUAUCACAGCAAUACGCGAACAUACUCUGGACAUUGUAGCAGAUAUUUUGGAAAAUGAUAUAAGUCCAAUACAACAUUUUAAAAGAAUUUUUGAUAGCGAAUUUAUGGAAUGUAUACAAUCAGAGACUGUUAAGUACGCCAUAAACAAAGGAGAUGAAGCUUUCACCGUAAAUCUUGAGGAGUUAUACACAUAUUUCGGUAUCCUUAUACUAAGUGGAUACAACAAGCUAUUAGCAUGUACUGGCAGACAGAAAGUGAUGUGUACAAUCAUUUAGUGGUAGGUUCAAUGGCGAGGAAUAAGUUUGAAAAAAUACAUCGCUACCUUCACAUCAACUUCAUUUUCUGUAGACGAAUCGAUGGAGCCGUAUUUUGGUAAGCAUUCUUUCAAGCAGUUUAUACGAGGAAAACCAAUUCGCAAUGGAUACAAAAUUUGGUGUAUGACUACUUCAGAAGGAUAUUUGUUGAACUUCGAUUCGUACACCGGAAAAAGCAUGAUUCGAUCUAAUGAGCCCUUAGGUUUAUCUAUCAUAAUAAAUUUAUGUUAUCACAUAGUUCCCGAACACAGCACUGUAUUUCUAGAUAACUAUUUCAAUAAUUUUAAAUUAUUGGAAGAGUUUGAUAAGAAAAAUAUAACAGUGGUGGGAACGAUUCGCUCGGACCGCAUUGAAAAUGCUCCUUUGAGCAGCAUGAAAAGAGAACUCCGUGGUACUUGUGAAGCACUAAAAUCUAAAAAUAUUACCCUAGUUAGGUGGAAUGAUAACAAUAAUGUCACCAUUGCAACAAAUUAUAAAAACGACAACAUAACGACAACAACCGGAUUAUGCAAAAGAUAUGAUCGACAACAGAAACGCAGACAAGACGUAAAGCAACCAGUCAUUAUCAAGGAGUCUAAUUCGGGAAUGGGUGGAGUCGAUCUCUUUGACCAGCAAAGGGCAGCGUACCGAACUCGGAUUCGGUCAAGAAAAUGGAAUUGGGCCAUUUUCAGAUUUUGCUUAAAUGGUGCCGUUGUAAAUUUAUGGAUAUUAUUUAGGAAAGCUUAUCCACAAGUUACUCUUCUCGGCUUCAUUCGACGACUUACAAGGAGCAUACUUUCAAAGCCAAAAGAUUUUCAUCCAGUCGCAUGACGAAAGAGAAAACGAGAAAACGAAACCAGCGCCGAUGCAAAAAUUGUGAAAAGUGUACGAAAUUUAUAUGCAUGAAAUGUAAUUUUGGCUUGCACCCAGAUAACUGUUUCUACAAAUAUCAUGUAAACUGAGUCUGCAACUAAAUCUGAAAAUUAACAGUGAAUAUGUCAUUAAAUAUAUAAAUACGAUGUCAAUUUGAACUCAAAA
This 1873-nucleotide unclassified non-coding RNA is filed under the name Bactrocera tryoni. RNAcentral's name for it is "piggyBac transposable element-derived protein 2-like, transcript variant X1". The record is from RNAcentral. Lineage: Eukaryota; Metazoa; Arthropoda; Insecta; Diptera; Tephritidae.